CCUACGGGAGGCAGCAGUGGGGAAUAUUGCACAAUGGGCGAAAGCCUGAUGCAGCAACGCCGCGUGAGCGAUGAAGGCCUUUGGGUCGUAAAGCUCUGUCCUUGGGGAAGAAAAAAUGACGGUACCCUUGGAGGAAGCCCCGGCUAACUACGUGCCAGCAGCCGCGGUAAU
RNAcentral lists this ribosomal RNA (171 nucleotides) under uncultured bacterium. Its description in RNAcentral is "partial 16S ribosomal RNA". It matches the Rfam family "Bacterial small subunit ribosomal RNA", at positions 338 to 524 of the family's 1533-position model. The record is from RNAcentral.